UGCAAAGGAGGUUGCCAGAGCUGCCUUGCUGAUUAAGAACCUAAGGAGUUCAGAAUGUGCAUCAUACAGCAAACAGAUGGAUCCUGCAUCAGAAUACUGAAAGGAUCAAAGAGGUGGCACAGUUGAAGCUGUGAGUUUCUGUCUCCUACUCAUGCUUGGAAGCAAACAUGAUGACCUCAUAUUACUAUAGAGAGCUACAAAAUGAAAGCAUCCUGUAUCAAUCAGCCAUCAAGACAUCCUGCCUGUAGCCUCCAAAUGUAUGUGCAGAAAACUCAACUUUUGGAUUGGCAUCAGCUAGCUUCAGCAUUGGUGUAUUUAGCUUUUGUCUGGAUGACCUGCCUUUGACAGAUGAGGGUGGGUGAAGUGACUUGUCGCACCUAUCUCGACCAGCAAGAAGGACACAACCACGACUCUUCUUCAAGCAGUUUAUUCAGGAACCUUGUACAUCAGCUUCUCCUUCUACUUCUACCUCAGCUUCUCUCUCUGCUUCUUCUAUAUCUCUCCCAGCCCCCUGGCAAGCUCUUAAAAGCAAGCUCAUUACCCACUUAGCUCACACCACCUGGCGAUCCUGGAUAGGUCACAGCUGGAGGAGGCACACCAGAUCCACUAAGCUUCCAAAUAAGGCUUGUUUACAGCUAAGCUCGGUCUCCCUGGCAUCCAGCCAGGCGCCAUCUUGGGGCUGUGGCUCCCCACAAAGUGAUAUAUUUUUUAUGAUUUAUCAAUGCUUUACUGAGGAUUCAGAAAAGCAAAAUCAGCCUCAAACUAUAUAUAUCAGGCAAUGGUGAUAUACACCUUUAAUCCCAGCAGCCAGAAGCAAGGAGGUGGUGGUACACACCUUUAUUCCUA
RNAcentral lists this long non-coding RNA (846 nucleotides) under Cricetulus griseus (Chinese hamster). Its description in RNAcentral is "lncRNA (ENSCGRG00015036197.1)". Lineage: Eukaryota; Metazoa; Chordata; Mammalia; Rodentia; Cricetidae. The record is from RNAcentral.